This 162-nucleotide ribosomal RNA is filed under the name Robertmurraya siralis. RNAcentral's name for it is "Bacillus siralis partial 16S ribosomal RNA". It matches the Rfam family "Bacterial small subunit ribosomal RNA", at positions 1211 to 1372 of the family's 1533-position model. The record is from RNAcentral. Lineage: Bacteria; Bacillati; Bacillota; Bacilli; Caryophanales; Bacillaceae.
GGGCUACACACGUGCUACAAUGGAUGGUACAAAGGGAAGCAAGACCGCGAGGUGGAGCGAAUCCCAUAAAGCCAUUCUCAGUUCGGAUUGUAGGCUGCAACUCGCCUACAUGAAGCCGGAAUCGCUAGUAAUCGCGGAUCAGCAUGCCGCGGUGAAUACGUU